Molecule: ribosomal RNA, 301 nt
Filed under: uncultured bacterium
Lineage: Bacteria
Description: partial 16S ribosomal RNA
Rfam family: Bacterial small subunit ribosomal RNA
Source: RNAcentral
CAGUAGCCACGGUAAUACGAAGGGUGCAAGCGUUAAUCGGGAUUACUGGGCGUAAAGCGUGCGCAGGCGGUUCGCUAAGACAGAUGUGAAAUCCCCGGGCUUAACCUGGGAACUGCAUUUGUGACUGGCGGGCUAGAGUAUGGCAGAGGGGGGUAGAAUUCCACGUGUAGCAGUGAAAUGCAUAGAGAUGUGGAGGAAUACCGAUGGCGAAGGCAGCCCCCUGGGCCAAUACUGACGCUCAUGCACAAAAGCGUGGGGAGCAAACAGGAUUAGAUACCCCGGUAGUCCCUGUCUCUUAUAC